Long non-coding RNA from Linepithema humile (Argentine ant), 835 nucleotides. RefSeq lists it as uncharacterized. Lineage: Eukaryota; Metazoa; Arthropoda; Insecta; Hymenoptera; Formicidae. The record is from RefSeq and is a predicted model, not a curated record.
UAGCGGCCCCUCACAGUCUCAUCGCGUAACUACUUCUCGAAUGCUGCUUAGCGAUUGUCCAUGUAUAAUUUGCAUAUACGUAGAGAUAUUGCGGUCACGGAAUAUUUUGCACAUUGCUAAAAAGAAAACCCCUAAUUAUAUUUUUACAAGUGAAAAACAAAAGGAAACAAUCAGGAAAAUGCUGCAAAGUUGGUAAAUCCUGAUGGAUAUGACACAAACAGAUAAGAAGAAUCGACGAUGGAAAAAUAUUCUUGUAUGAAGCAUAAUAAUUAUUUGAGAAAAAUAGACGCGCGUCUUUUUCAAGUAAUUCCAAGUUGUAUGCAACUAUAAUUAUUCCGCGUGUGUUCGGAAACACGCUCAGACGAAAAAGCCGUCGUUUCUUUGGUAUCCAAAUAUAUCCCGAAACUUGUGCGGGCUGUCUCUCUCCUUCUGUUUCUCUCCGCCUCUGUGGAUGAAACUCUCUCAAAAAGGAAUAAGUCCGCGAGCUUCUUGGAAUGCCUAGACCAUUACACGAAACUCAAAAUAACACACGACGGACGGUCCUUGCUCUACAUUUUUUCGUCGCCGUUUUAGAUUUAACUGUGUCGUUUCAUUCGCGUCUUACGCGAAUGCAAAUAUUAUGUCUGCCAAGACUGUCUUAUAUUUUUUAUAUUAAUAAGUACAAAAAGUUUCUAAUGUCUCUGCAAAUAUGUAUUUUUAUAACGGAGAAAUAUCUUUCUCUGAUGAAUAAUUAAAAAUAUUAAAUAUCGUGCAUACAAAUUUACGUUAUAUUUCUCGACAUAUAAUUCUUUACAAUGUAGAAAAAUAUGCGAACAAUAUAUAUACCUGAAAGACA